RNAcentral lists this ribosomal RNA (422 nucleotides) under uncultured bacterium. Its description in RNAcentral is "bacterial SSU rRNA". It matches the Rfam family "Bacterial small subunit ribosomal RNA", at positions 355 to 774 of the family's 1533-position model. The record is from RNAcentral.
UGAGGAAUAUUGGGCAAUGCCCGCAAGGGUGACCCAGCAACACCGCGUGGAGGAUGAAUGUCGUAAGAUUGUAAACUCCUGUUAGAGGGGAAGAAUAGUACCGGUUGGACCGGUAUAUGACUGUACCCUCAGAGAAAGCCCCGGCUAACUACGUGCCAGCAGCAGCGGUAAUACGUAGGGGGCAAGCGUUGUCCGGAUUUACCGGGUGUAAAGGGCGCGCAGGCGGGAUAAAAAGUCAGUGGUGAAAUCCUACAGCUUAACUGUAGAACUGCCUGUGAGACUUUUAUUCCUGAGGUCGGGAGAGAGAGACGGAAUUCCAGGUGUAGUGGUGAAAUACGUAGAUAUCUGGAAGAACACCAGUUGCGAAGGCGGUCUCUUGGUCCGACACUGACGCUGAGGCGCUAAAGCGUGGGGAGCAAACA